GCUAGAAUGGUGUAGUGGUUUGAGUGUUGGACUAGGACUUUGGAGAUCAGGGUUCGAUUCCUCGUUCAGCC
RNAcentral lists this transfer RNA (71 nucleotides) under Phrynosoma platyrhinos (Desert horned lizard). RNAcentral describes it as "tRNA-OTHER". The record is from RNAcentral. Lineage: Eukaryota; Metazoa; Chordata; Lepidosauria; Squamata; Phrynosomatidae.